CAGUAGCCACGGGAAUACGGAGGGUGCAAGCGUUAUCCGGAUUUAUUGGGUUUAAAGGGUCCGUAGGCGGACUUAUAAGUCAGUGGUGAAAGCCUGUCGCUUAACGAUAGAACUGCCAUUGAUACUGUAAGUCUUGAGUAUAUUUGAGGUAGCUGGAAUAAGUAGUGUAGCGGUGAAAUGCAUAGAUAUUACUUAGAACACCAAUUGCGAAGGCAGGUUACCAAGAUAUAACUGACGCUGAGGGACGAAAGCGUGGGUAGCGAACAGGAUUAGAGACCCCGGUAGUCCCUGUCUCUUAUAA
RNAcentral lists this ribosomal RNA (301 nucleotides) under uncultured bacterium. RNAcentral describes it as "partial 16S ribosomal RNA". It matches the Rfam family "Bacterial small subunit ribosomal RNA", at positions 509 to 809 of the family's 1533-position model. The record is from RNAcentral.